UAAUACGGAGGGAGCUAGCGUUGUUCGGAAUUACUGGGCGUAAAGCGCACGUAGGCGGCUCUUUAAGUCAGGGGUGAAAUCCCGGGGCUCAACCCCGGAACUGCCCUUGAAACUGCAGAGCUAGAAUACUGGAGAGGUGAGUGGAAUUCCGAGUGUAGAGGUGAAAUUCGUAGAUAUUCGGAAGAACACCAGUGGCGAAGGCGACUCACUGGACAGUUAUUGACGCUGAGGUGCGAAAGCGUGGGGAGCAAACAGG
RNAcentral lists this ribosomal RNA (256 nucleotides) under uncultured archaeon. RNAcentral's name for it is "partial 16S ribosomal RNA". It matches the Rfam family "Bacterial small subunit ribosomal RNA", at positions 521 to 776 of the family's 1533-position model. The record is from RNAcentral.